This 371-nucleotide ribosomal RNA is filed under the name uncultured organism. RNAcentral's name for it is "bacterial SSU rRNA". It matches the Rfam family "Bacterial small subunit ribosomal RNA", at positions 526 to 896 of the family's 1533-position model. The record is from RNAcentral.
CAGAGGGUGCGAGCGUUAAUCGGAAUUACUGGGCGUAAAGCGUGCGUAGACGGUUGUUUAAGUCGGAUGUGAAAGCCCCGGGCUCAACCUGGGAAUUGCAUUCGAGACUGAAUAGCUAGGGUGCGGUAGAGGGAAGCGGAAUUUCCGGUGUAGCGGUGAAAUGCGUAGAUAUCGGAAGGAACAUCAGUGGCGAAAGCGGCUUCCUGGACCAGCACCGACGUUCAGGCACGAAAGCGUGGGGAGCAAACAGGAUUAGAUACCCUGGUAGUCCACGCCAUAAACGAUGAGGACUAGACGUUGGAGGGGUAAGCCUUUCAGUGUCGUAGCUAACGCGCUAAGUCCUCCGCCUGGGGAGUACGGCCGCAAGGUUG